UUGGUUCUUUCACCAGAAAUUACCCCAAAUUUCAGUCCAUGCUACAUUCUCUCGUUAUUAAUGCUUCUUUGAAGCCCAUCAUGCAGAAAAGUCCUGGAGAAAAAAGAGUUGUGUUUAGGAGAUGCAUUUACAUCUUUAUUCUUUAUGCCACUACAUGUCCUUAAAUGGAUGCACGUCUACUUUUGCUUGUCUUGGUUGUUUCCACGUGUGAAUGAGAACAUGAGAGUAAGGUGGUGAAAACAAUCCCAUUUUCCUUGUAAGGAUUUAACUUCCUGAACCCCUGUAACACCCUGCUAACUCAUGGGAACCCCUUGCCUUUCAGGAGCUCGUGCCUUUCCCUUCAUCUCCCUUUGUCCUCAGUGAAAUGCCACAGCUGCAAUGUGAACUCAGGUCCUCACACUCUGCCAAACCUCCAAAUCAGCCAACUGCUGCAAACAUCAUCUGCAAACGUGUGUUCACCUGCAGCUACCAGUGACCCACUGAGCCUAAGGAAAAGGAUAAUGCCAAUGUCUUCUGAGGUGAUUUGUAGUGACACAAGCCCAGCUAGCUUAUGAAGACCAAAUUCUAAUUAAUCCAUGGGAAAGGAAAUACCAAAAUGACGGUAAGUAUAAUGAUUUGGGGUUCUAACACUGGGUCAGUAAGAGGAAAAAAAUCACAUUGUACCUCACCUUCCUCCCCAGUAUUUCCUGAGUAACCAGCCUAUGGAUUAGGCAUGCUAAAUUUGCAUAUUUACACCUUUGGUUUUCUAUCACAAGUGUUGCCCUGUUAGCAGUAUUUAGGUACAUGUUCAUGUCUAGAAAACUCAAAUAUAUUCACUGGUAAACAGCUCAUAGAAAAUGCAAUAGAAUGUCUAGAGCAAAAGUUAUGGAAGUUACAACUAAUGUAUUUUAAAGACUGUCUCGAGAACAGCAAUUGAAAACACUAUUUAAAAAUUUGGUAAUAUUAUUAUUUUGUCAUUAUGUCUCUUUUUUUUUUGAAGAUGACAUAUGAAGAGUGGGAAUAUGUUCAUAGUAAAUUAAUGAUGGCUUUAUUUUACCAGUCAUGGUCCAAUUCCAGAUGAGUGCCACUGUGAGAAGAGUGGCUAAUUUGAUGUAGCAAAGGUCAGAAAACCCAGCAGACUGAAUCUAUACAAGGGUGACAUUCCUGAAUGUGACAGAAGAGCUUGCUACAUGUGAUAAAUAAAUUGGAAAGAGAUUGUUAUUAGUAUUAUGUUUAUCUCCUGCUAUCACAGAAUUUUAUUUUUUUCCUGUGAAAACUCAUUCUUGUUUACCUGAGUUUGCUGAAUCCUUGGAUGAAAAAAAGGAAUCAUGAGGAAACAAAUUACUUAUUUUCAGAAUAUGUCAAAAUUGAUCUGACAUGUUAAUGGUUUGCAUAGGGAAAGGAAGUGGUGAAAGCUUGUGGCAGGAGAAACAGAUGUGUGUGACAAAACUUUUUGGACAGGAAUUUUUGUGCACUGCUAAAACCAAGUGUUUUUUGAUGUUUCUAAGGCAGAAAAGAAUAAAGCUGCUGUAAGAAGGGUUGAGUUGACACAGGUUGCAGUGAUCACUCAGAGUUCAUAAUCUGCUUUUUUCUUUACGUUUUACAAAAUACCUUUGAGGGAUUAAGAAGCUGAUGAAUGCAAUGUGAAUCUGUGAAUACAGAUAAUGUGAAUGGCAACAGCAAAGUCUGGUACUCUGUUAAUUAGGGAACACCUGGAACUGAUCUUUGUGAAUUGUGAUGGAAAAUAGUGUUGUAGUGCAAAUUCUGGUUUGUAAUGCAGAUUUAUUUCUGUGUUAUACUUGCAUAUCCUGAUAAACUUUUCUAUUACGGUUUUUUAAUCAUUCCAAAUACUAAACCAAAGAGAUAAAGAAAAUAUUUUCAAUAAAGUUUCUACUGUAGUUACACUCUGCCAUUGUAUUGUUUGAAACCGAAUUCAAAAUAAAGUUUAGAUAU
Molecule: long non-coding RNA, 1932 nt
Organism: Parus major (Great Tit)
Lineage: Eukaryota; Metazoa; Chordata; Aves; Passeriformes; Paridae
Exons: 2
Source: RefSeq, a predicted model, not a curated record